GCAGUAGUGGUUCGGUGGUAGAAUUCUCGCCUUCCAUGUGGGAGACUCAGGUUUGAUUCCUGGUCAAUGCA
This 71-nucleotide transfer RNA is filed under the name Loxodonta africana (African savanna elephant). It matches the Rfam family "tRNA". Rfam says of the family: Transfer RNA (tRNA) molecules are approximately 80 nucleotides in length. Their secondary structure includes four short double-helical elements and three loops (D, anti-codon, and T loops). Further hydrogen bonds mediate the characteristic L-shaped molecular structure. tRNAs have two regions of fundamental functional importance: the anti-codon, which is responsible for specific mRNA codon recognition, and the 3' end, to which the tRNAs corresponding amino acid is attached (by aminoacyl-tRNA synthetases). tRNAs cope with the degeneracy of the genetic code in two manners: having more than one tRNA (with a specific anti-codon) for a particular amino acid; and 'wobble' base-pairing, i.e. permitting non-standard base-pairing at the 3rd anti-codon position. The record is from Rfam by way of RNAcentral. Lineage: Eukaryota; Metazoa; Chordata; Mammalia; Proboscidea; Elephantidae.